UACGUAGGGCGCGAGCGUUGUCCGGAAUUAUUGGGCGUAAAGAGCUCGUAGGCGGCCUGUUGCGUCCGCUGUGAAAUCCCGGGGCUCAACCCUGGGCGUGCAGCGGAUACGGGCAGGCUGGAGGACGGUAGAGGCGAGUGGAAUUCCCAGUGUAGCGGUGAAAUGCGUAGAUACUGGGAGGAACACCAGUGGCGAAGGCGGCUACCUGGACCGGUUCUGACGCUGAGGCGCGAAAGCGUGGGUAGCAAACAGG
Molecule: ribosomal RNA, 253 nt
Filed under: uncultured bacterium
Lineage: Bacteria
Description: partial 16S ribosomal RNA
Rfam family: Bacterial small subunit ribosomal RNA
Source: RNAcentral